CCUACGGGAGGCAGCAGUGGGGAAUAUUGGACAAUGGGGGGAACCCUGAUCCAGCGACGCCGCGUGAGUGAAGACGUAUUUCGGUAUGGAAAGCUCUAUCAGCAGGGAAGAAAGAAAUGACGGUACCUGACUAAGAAGCCCCGGCUAACUACGUGCCAGCAGCCGCUGUAAUACGUAGGUGGCAAGCGUUAUCCGGAUUUACUGGGUGUAAAGGGAGCGUAGACGGCGAUGUAAGUGUGAAGUGAAAGGCGGGGGCCCAACCCCCGGAUUGGGUUGGAUACUGGAUGGCUGGAGUGCAGGUGAGGUAAGUGGAAUGCCUGGUGGAGCGGUGAAA
This 334-nucleotide ribosomal RNA is filed under the name uncultured bacterium. Its description in RNAcentral is "partial 16S ribosomal RNA". It matches the Rfam family "Bacterial small subunit ribosomal RNA", at positions 338 to 686 of the family's 1533-position model. The record is from RNAcentral.